CCUUGCCAGCCCGCUCAGAAACUCAAAGGAAUUGACGGGGGCCCGCACAAGCGGUGGAGCAUGUGGUUUAAUUCGAUGAUACGCGAGGAACCUUACCUGGGCUCAAAUGUAUGUUGACGUAUUCUGAAAGGGAUACUUCUUCGGACAAUAUACAAGGUGCUGCAUGGUUGUCGUCAGCUCGUGCCGUGAGGUGUCGGGUUAAGUCCCAUAACGAGCGCAACCCUAUCAUUAGUUGCCAUCAGGUCAAGCUGGGGACUCUAAUGAAACUGCCUACGCAAGUAGUGAGGAAGGUGGGGAUGACGUCAAAUCAGCACGGCCCUUACGUCCAGGGCUACACACGUGCUACAAUGGCCGGUACAAAGGGCAGCUACCUGGUGACAGGAUGCAAAUCUCCAAAGUCGGUCUCAGUUCGGAUCGGAGUCUGCAACCCGACUCCGUGAAGUUGGAUUCGCUAGUAAUCGCGCAUCAGCCAUGGCGCGGUGAAUACGUUCCCGGGCCUU
This 500-nucleotide ribosomal RNA is filed under the name uncultured Sphingobacteriales bacterium. Its description in RNAcentral is "bacterial SSU rRNA". It matches the Rfam family "Bacterial small subunit ribosomal RNA", at positions 903 to 1382 of the family's 1533-position model. Lineage: Bacteria; Pseudomonadati; Bacteroidota; Sphingobacteriia; Sphingobacteriales. The record is from RNAcentral.